CAGUAGCCGCGGGAAUACGAAGGGUGCAAGCGUUACUCGGAAUUACUGGGCGUAGAGCGUGCGUAGGUGGUGGUUUAAGUCCGUUGUGAAAGCCCUGGGCUCAACCUGGGAAUUGCAGUGGAUACUGGGUCACUAGAGUGUGGUAGAGGAUAGUGGAAUUUCCGGUGUAGCAGUGAAAUGCGUAGAGAUCGGAAGGAACAUCUGUGGCGAAGGCGACUAUCUGGGCCAACACUGACACUGAGGCACGAAAGCGUGGGGGGCAAACAGGAUUAGAUACCCCUGUAGUCCAUGUCUCUUAUAA
RNAcentral lists this ribosomal RNA (301 nucleotides) under uncultured bacterium. RNAcentral's name for it is "partial 16S ribosomal RNA". It matches the Rfam family "Bacterial small subunit ribosomal RNA", at positions 509 to 809 of the family's 1533-position model. The record is from RNAcentral.